GAUGAACGCUAGCGGCAGGCUUAAUACAUGCAAGUCGAACGAAGCCUUCGGGCUUAGUGGCGCACGGGUGCGUAACGCGUGGGAAUCUGCCCUUGGGUUCGGAAUAACAGUUAGAAACGACUGCUAAUACCGGAUGAUGUCUUCGGACCAAAGAUUUAUCGCCCAAGGAUGAGCCCGCGUAGGAUUAGGUAGUUGGUGGGGUAAUGGCCCACCAAGCCGACGAUCCUUAGCUGGUCUGAGAGGAUGAUCAGCCACACUGGGACUGAGACACGGCCCAGACUCCUACGGGAGGCAGCAGUGGGGAAUAUUGGACAAUGGGCGAAAGCCUGAUCCAGCAAUGCCGCGUGAGUGAUGAAGGCCUUAGGGUUGUAAAGCUCUUUUACCAGGGAUGAUAAUGACAGUACCUGGAGAAUAAGCUCCGGCUAACUCCGUGCCAGCAGCCGCGGUAA
This 449-nucleotide ribosomal RNA is filed under the name uncultured bacterium. RNAcentral's name for it is "partial 16S ribosomal RNA". It matches the Rfam family "Bacterial small subunit ribosomal RNA", at positions 28 to 523 of the family's 1533-position model. The record is from RNAcentral.